AUGGCGUCCACGGCUCCUCCGCGGGAGGACCUCAUCACGGAGGACGAGGAGCAGCGGCCGCCCCUCACGCGGCCCCUCCUCCGCCGCAGCGCCACCAACAACAUCUCCCAGGUGGCCAUGGUCGGCUCCAAGGCCUGCCCCAUCGAGAGCCUCGACUACGAGAUCAUCGAGAACGACCUGUUCGACCAGAACUGGCGGACGAGGGCCAAGGCGGACCAGGUGUGGUACGUGGUGCUCAAGUGGACCUUCUGCUUCGCCAUCGGCAUCAUCACCGGCGUCGUCGGCUUCCUCAUCAACCUCGCCGUCGAGAACGUCGCCGGCUUCAAGCACGCCGCCGUCUCCUCCCUCAUGGACUCCACCAGCUACUGGACGGCCUUCUGGGUGUUCGCCGGCGCGAACCUGGCGCUGCUGCUGCUGGCGUCGGCGAUCACGGCGUCGGUGUCGCCGGCGGCCGGCGGGUCGGGGAUCCCGGAGGUGAAGGCGUACCUCAACGGCGUGGACGCGCCCAACAUCUUCUCGCUCAAGACCCUCGCUGUCAAGGUCAUCGGCAACAUAGCCGCCGUGUCAUCGUCGCUGCACGUCGGCAAGGCCGGGCCAAUGGUGCACACGGGCGCGUGCAUAGCUGCCAUCUUCGGCCAGGGCGGCUCGCGCAGGUACGGCCUCACCUGGCGCUGGCUACGCUACUUCAAGAACGACCGCGACCGCCGCGACCUCGUCACCAUCGGCGCCGGCGCCGGUGUCUCCGCCGCGUUCCGCGCACCCGUCGGCGGCGUCCUCUUCGCUCUCGAGUCCCUCUCCUCGUGGUGGCGGAGCGCGCUGAUCUGGCGCUCCUUCUUCACGACGGCGGUGGUGGCCGUGGUGCUGAGGCUGUUCGUGGAGCUGUGCGGGUCGGGGCGGUGCGGGCUGUUCGGCAAGGGCGGGCUCAUCAUGUACGACGUCCUCCGCGUCUACAGCGUCGUCAACGAGCGCGGGCGCGCGCACAAGCUGCUGCUGGCGGCGGCCGUGUCCGUGCUCACGUCGUGCUGCGUGUUCGGCAUGCCAUGGUUCGCGCCGUGCCGGCCCUGCCCCGUCGCGGGGCCCAACGGCGCCUGCGGCUCCCUCAACAAGUUCCGGCGGUUCCACUGCCCGCCGGACCACUACAACGACCUGGCCAGCCUGAUGCUCAACAUCAACGACGACGCCAUCCGCAACCUCUACGCCACCGGCACCAACGACGUCUACCACCGGGGCUCCAUGCUCGCCUUCUUCGUGGCCUCCUACGCGCUGGGCGUGCUCAGCUACGGCGUGGUGGCGCCGUCGGGGCUCUUCGUCCCCAUCAUCCUCACCGGCGCCACCUACGGCCGCCUGGUGGCCAUGCUGCUGGGCAGGCACUCCGGCCUCGACCACGGCCUGGUGGCCAUCCUCGGCUCGGCGUCCUUCCUCGGCGGCACGCUCCGCAUGACGGUGUCCGUGUGCGUCAUCAUCGUGGAGCUCACCAACAACCUGCUCCUCCUGCCGCUGGUGAUGCUCGUGCUGCUCAUCUCCAAGACCGUCGCCGACUCCUUCAACGCCAGCAUCUACGACCUCAUCGUGCGCCUCAAGGGGCUGCCGUACCUCGACGGCCACGCCGAGCCCUACAUGCGGCAGCUCAGCGUGGGCGACGUGGUGGUCGGCCCGCUGCGGAGCUUCAACGGCGUGGAGAAGGUGGGCCACAUCAUGCACGUCCUCCGCACCACGGGCCACCACGCGUUCCCGGUGAUCGACGAGCCGCCCUUCUCCACCGCGCCGGUGCUCUACGGCCUCGUGCUCAGGGCGCACCUGCUCGUGCUCCUCCGGAAGCGGGAGUUCCUGCCGGCGCAGGAGCGGUACCCCAAGGAGUACAGCAUCGCGGCGAGGUUCGAGGCGCAGGACUUCGACAAGCGCGGCUCCGGCAAGCAGGACACGGUGGACGGCGUGGAGCUGUCGCCGGAGGAGAUGGGGAUGUACGUGGACCUGCACCCGUUCACCAACGCGUCGCCAUACACCGUCGUGGAGACCAUGUCGCUGGCCAAGGCGCUCAUCCUCUUCCGCGAGGUCGGCCUCCGCCACCUCCUCGUCGUGCCCAAGGCCUGCGAUAGGUCGCCGGUGGUGGGGAUCCUGACGAGGCACGACUUCAUGCCGGAGCACAUCCUGGGGCUGCACCCGGUGCUGCUCGGCGGCAAGUGGAAGCGGCUCCGGUGGCACAAGGCCGCCGUCGCCAAGUACUUCCGCGACCUCAUCGUGCGGCUCGCCAACUGCGGCUGA
Molecule: ribosomal RNA, 2262 nt
Filed under: Triticum aestivum (bread wheat)
Lineage: Eukaryota; Viridiplantae; Streptophyta; Magnoliopsida; Poales; Poaceae
Description: partial small subunit ribosomal RNA
Source: RNAcentral